RNAcentral lists this ribosomal RNA (497 nucleotides) under uncultured bacterium. Its description in RNAcentral is "partial 16S ribosomal RNA". It matches the Rfam family "Bacterial small subunit ribosomal RNA", at positions 28 to 507 of the family's 1533-position model. The record is from RNAcentral.
GACGAACGCUGGCGGCGUGCCUAAUACAUGCAAGUUGAGCGCUGAAGGUUGGUACUUGUUCCAACUGGAUGAGCAGCGAACGGGUGAGUAACGCGUGGGGAAUCUGCCUUUGAGCGGGGGACAACAUUUGGAAACGAAUGCUAAUACCGCAUAAAAACUUUAAACACAAGUUUUAAGUUUGAAAGAUGCAAUUGCAUCACUCAAAGAUGAUCCCGCGUUGUAUUAGCUAGUUGGUGAGGUAAAGGCUCACCAAGGCGAUGAUACAUAGCCGACCUGAGAGGGUGAUCGGCCACAUUGGGACUGAGACACGGCCCAAACUCCUACGGGAGGCAGCAGUAGGGAAUCUUCGGCAAUGGACGAAAGUCUGACCGAGCAACGCCGCGUGAGUGAAGAAGGUUGUCGGAUCGUAAAACUCUGUUGGUAGAGAAGAACGUUGGUGAGAGUGGAAAGCUCAUCAAGUGACGGUAACUACCCAGAAAGGGACGGCUAACUACGUG